UACAGAGGUCUCAAGCGUUGUUCGGAUUCAUUGGGCGUAAAGGGCGCGUAGGCGGCGGGGUAAGUCUGGUGUGAAAUCUCGGAGCUCAACUCCGAAAUUGCACUGGAUACUGCUCUGCUAGAGGGCUGGAGAGGAGAUCGGAAUUCACGGUGUAGCAGUGAAAUGCGUAGAUAUCGUGAGGAAGACCAGUGGCGAAGGCGGAUCUCUGGGCAGCUCCUGACGCUGAGGCGCGAAGGCUAGGGGAGCAAACGGG
Molecule: ribosomal RNA, 253 nt
Filed under: uncultured bacterium
Lineage: Bacteria
Description: partial 16S ribosomal RNA
Rfam family: Bacterial small subunit ribosomal RNA
Source: RNAcentral